Non-coding RNA from Pelobates cultripes (western spadefoot toad), 216 nucleotides. Lineage: Eukaryota; Metazoa; Chordata; Amphibia; Anura; Pelobatidae. The record is from the annotation of a GenBank genome assembly.
UUUACAGUGUAAAAAAAACAGUUAGUUUUCUCCCUUUAAAGAGCAAUUCGAAGCUGCUUCAUAACUUAUUUACUGGGAUUAAUCACUAAAGACCAGAUCUAGGCUGGAUUAAUAAAAAUAAGUUAAAACUGCCACAUGAAUAUUUGCAUUUCUCAUUCGGUUCCAUCAGUGUCCACUUUGAAUCCAGUAAUUCUUACAUGUGCAUCCUUUGUAAAC